Molecule: ribosomal RNA, 406 nt
Filed under: uncultured bacterium
Lineage: Bacteria
Description: partial 16S ribosomal RNA
Rfam family: Bacterial small subunit ribosomal RNA
Source: RNAcentral
AUUGAACGCUGGCGGCAGGCCUAACACAUGCAAGUCGAACGAGUGGCGGACGGGAGAGUUAUGUCUGGGAAUCUGCCUGCUGGAUGGGGAUAACUACUGGAAACGGUAGCUAAUACCGCAUACCAUCAGAUGUGCCCAGUUGGGUUUAGCUUGUUGGUGGGGUAACGGCUGACCAAGGCGACGAUCCCUAGCUGGUCUGAGAGGAUGACCAGCCACACUGGAACUGAGACACGGUCCAGACUCCUACGGGAGGCAGCAGUGGGGAAUAUUGCACAAUGGGCGAAAGCCUGAUGCAGCCAUGCCGCGUGUGUGAAGAAGGCCUUCGGGUUGUAAAGUACUUUCAGCGGGGAGGCGUUACCCACAGAAGAAGCACCGGCUAACUCCGUGCCAGCAGCCGCGGUAAUUC